GAUGAACGCUGGCGGCGUGCCUAAUACAUGCAAGUCGAGCGAACAGACGAGGAGCUUGCUCCUCUGACGUUAGCGGCGGACGGGUGAGUAACACGUGGAUAACCUACCUAUAAGACUGGGAUAAUUUCGGGAAACCGGAGCUAAUAACGGCUAAUAUAUUCAACCGCAUGGUUCAAUAGUGAAAGACGCUUUUGCUGUCACUUAUAGAUGGAUCCGCGCCGCAUUAGCUAGUUGGUAAGGUAACGGCUUACCAAGGCGACGAUGCGUAGCCGACCUGAGAGGGUGAUCGGCCACACUGGAACUGAGACACGGUCCAGACUCCUACGGGAGGCAGCAGUAGGGAAUCUUCCGCAAUGGGCGAAAGCCUGACGGAGCAACGCCGCGUGAGUGAUGAAGGUCUUCGGAUCGUAAAACUCUGUUAUUAGGGAAGAACAAAUGUGUAAGUAACUAUGCACGUCUUGACGGUACCUAAUCAGAAAGCCACGGCUAACUACGUG
Molecule: ribosomal RNA, 497 nt
Filed under: uncultured bacterium
Lineage: Bacteria
Description: partial 16S ribosomal RNA
Rfam family: Bacterial small subunit ribosomal RNA
Source: RNAcentral